AUUGAACGCUGGCGGCAGGCCUAACACAUGCAAGUCGAGCGGUAACACAGGGAGCCUGCUCCUGGGUGACGAGCGGCGGACGGGUGAGUAAUGUCUGGGAAACUGCCUGAUGGAGGGGGAUAACUACUGGAAACGGUAGCUAAUACCGCAUAACGUCGCAAGACCAAAGAGGGGGACCUUCGGGCCUCUUGCCCUCAGAUGUGCCCAGAUGGGAUUAGCUAGUAGGUGGGGUAACGGCUCACCUAGGCGACGAUCCCUAGCUGGUCUGAGAGGAUGACCAGCCACACUGGAACUGAGACACGGUCCAGACUCCUACGGGAGGCAGCAGUGGGGAAUAUUGCACAAUGGGCGCAAGCCUGAUGCAGCCAUGCCGCGUGUAUGAAGAAGGCCUUCGGGUUGUAAAGUACUUUCAGCGGGGAGGAAGGCGUUGUGGUUAAUAACCACAGCGAUUGACGUUACCCGCAGAAGAAGCACCGGCUAACUCCGUGCCAGCCGCCGCCGUAA
This 504-nucleotide ribosomal RNA is filed under the name uncultured bacterium. RNAcentral describes it as "partial 16S ribosomal RNA". It matches the Rfam family "Bacterial small subunit ribosomal RNA", at positions 30 to 523 of the family's 1533-position model. The record is from RNAcentral.